This 386-nucleotide long non-coding RNA is filed under the name Trifolium pratense (red clover). RNAcentral describes it as "long non-coding RNA (TPRA_LNC009938)". The record is from RNAcentral. Lineage: Eukaryota; Viridiplantae; Streptophyta; Magnoliopsida; Fabales; Fabaceae.
ACCCACAAGGGCUUAUGGUAAUCAUUAAAAGCCUUAAGCUUACCCCUCAAACUAAUUUUAAUUUAGCACUUCUCAUAGCCAUUAUCAUAACACAUAGGAAAUGAACAAAAUUUUAGUGCUAACAUAACUAACAAGUAACUUGUUUUUACCCAUAUGAACCUUCUUCAUGGGAUCUCCAAUCACAAAGGUUGGGUUCCCAUUACUUGUCGUUUUUCAGUGGCAUAGUCCAUUCCUAUCAAUUUUCUUCCCAGGGGUUUAGCAUCCGGAUCCGCUAAAUUCACAAAUAUUGACUAAGACGUCUCAAAGUCAAUUAAUCUCAUAUUUUCUUGAGUCUAAAAAGUAAACUCAAUUUUCACAAUAAGUUUAUACAAGUCUACUUAGAUGGC